Non-coding RNA from Drosophila suzukii, 939 nucleotides. Lineage: Eukaryota; Metazoa; Arthropoda; Insecta; Diptera; Drosophilidae. The record is from RefSeq and is a predicted model, not a curated record.
UAUUGUUAUUGCAUUUUCAGGAUGAAGGCGAAAUUAAGUAUUUUGGGAGACUGAUGCGCAGCAAUAUUCCGAUGAGUUCUUCAAGGAAUUCUGCCACGUUGACCGAAUAUAAUAUCAGCAGCUAGUGGGUUUUUAUAAGCCUAGCAUAAAAAACCUUGUUUCGCCCAGCCAUUCCCAGCGCUCUAUUCGAUUGGGUAAUCCUCGGAAUACAGAACUAUCGGCAGAUUAUUCGUCGUUCACAAAAACCGUCGUAUUCAAAAUGUAAACGAAUUCUGUAUCAAAGUCAUUUCUCCUCGGGCGAUAGUUCUGCCAGACUAUUCGGCACUACAAAAACCAUUGUACCGGCUUUUUGACGUAAAGGUUGGCUGCCCAGAACGAUGUCACGAUCCACAAAUUUAGAUGCAGUUAAGCUGAAAACGAACUGGAGGAGACACCAAUAUUAAAAGACAAUGUAAGAAAAAUAUGUGGAACUCCGAUCCCAGUUGUUGUCCUGGCCGACUAAGCAUUUAGAUUUUUCACGACGGUUAUAAAGUCAUAACCCUUUCCAAUAGUUCUUUCCGCGGAACAACGAGCCUUCAACUACAAUUUAACCAAGUGUCGACGUGUAACAGAACCGGAGAAUCGGAAAGGGCCUUGACAAUCAUAUCACAAGCUCAAACAAUGUGAUAUUAUGCUGCUGCAUACUCCCCAAUUUCAAAAAUGAGAGCAACAUUGAUAUUUAAUCAAGAUGGGCAAUGAAAUUCGGAGAAGUACGCCAGCAACCUGAAAAUGUAUUGUGGAUGGGAAAUCAGAACCGAGAAUUCGAAGCUAUUCCUCAAGGACUUGCAAUGCACUUUAAUGACCAAAACUAUGCAACUAGAUAAGGAAUUUUUGUGCAUAAUUCUAUAUAAAAUAAAAAUAAUAAUUUUAUAUAUAUUAAAACCAAAUGACAAGCAAUUA